GGGAGCCGGAGGGAAACCGAGUCUUAACCGGGCGUUAAGUUGCAGGGUAUAGACCCGAAACCCGGUGAUCUAGCCAUGGGCAGGUUGAAGGUUGGGUAACACUAACUGGAGGACCGAACCGACUAAUGUUGAAAAAUUAGCGGAUGACCUGUGGCUGGGGGUGAAAGGCCAAUCAAACCGGGAGAUAGCUGGUUCUCCCCGAAAGCUAUUUAGGUAGCGCCUCGUGAAUUCAUCUCCGGGGGUAGAGCACUGUUUCGGCUAGGGGGCCAUCCCGGCUUACCAACCCGAUGCAAACUGCGAAUACCGGAGAAUGUUAUCACGGGAGACACACGGCGGGUGCUAACGUCCGUCGUGAAGAGGGAAACAACCCAGACCGCCAGCUAAGGUCCCAAAGUCAUGGUUAAGUGGGAAACGAUGUGGGAAGGCCCAGACAGCCAGGAUGUUGGCUUAGAAGCAGCCAUCAUUUAAAGAAAGCGUAAUAGCUCACUGGUCGAGUCGGCCUGCGCGGAAGAUGUAACGGGGCUAAACCAUGCACCGAAGCUGCGGCAGCGAACGUAUCACUUAAAGCGAUUCAGCGGGUUACGAUUGACGGAGCGAAGCGACGUCAAAGCGUAUACAAAGUCGAGUCGGUUUAAGGAUACGUUCGUUGGGUA
Molecule: ribosomal RNA, 653 nt
Filed under: Salmonella enterica
Lineage: Bacteria; Pseudomonadati; Pseudomonadota; Gammaproteobacteria; Enterobacterales; Enterobacteriaceae
Description: partial 23S ribosomal RNA
Rfam family: Bacterial large subunit ribosomal RNA
Source: RNAcentral